RNAcentral lists this ribosomal RNA (460 nucleotides) under uncultured bacterium. RNAcentral's name for it is "partial 16S ribosomal RNA". It matches the Rfam family "Bacterial small subunit ribosomal RNA", at positions 338 to 795 of the family's 1533-position model. The record is from RNAcentral.
CCUACGGGAGGCAGCAGUGAGGAAUAUUGGGCCAUGGGCGUAAGCCUGAACCAGCCAAGUCGCGUGAGGGAUGAAGGUUCUAUGGAUCGUAAAUCUCUUUUAAAAGGGAAUAAAGUGUGGGACGUGUCCUGUUUUGUAUGUACCUUAUGAAUCAGGAUCGGCUAACUCCGUGCCAGCAGCAGCGGUAAUACGGAGGAUCCGAGCGUUAUCCGGAUUUAUAGGGUUUAAAGGGUGCGUAGGCGGCCUUUUAAGUCAGCGGUGAAAGUCUGUGGCUCAACCAUAGAAUUGCCGUUGAAACUGGGGGGCGUGAUGAUGUUUGAGGCAGGCGGAAUGCGUGGUGUAGCGGUGAAAUGCUUAGAUAUCACGCAGAACCCCGAUUGCGAAGGCAGCCUGCCAAGCCAUGACUGACGCUGAUGCACGAAAGCGUGGGGAUCAAACAGGAUUAGAUACCCCAGUAGUC